UCCCUCCUCGCGAUCCUCCCGACGUCCUCGCGCCGCCGUCCUCUUCUUCUUUGCGACUCCUCUGUGCACGACGCCCUGACCGACGCCGGCGAGUCCUCGGCACUCCGCGUGCGCCUCGCAUCCAACGCCGGGGAGGAUCGCGUGACUCCGCCCGCGUCGUCGCCUCCGACGCUGGCCUCUCCUUCACCACCGUCCCUGCCGGCAGGGUCCCCCUCGUCAUGGCCUUCCUCGCCUGGGUGUACGUCACCAGCUGGCCAUAUGGCAGGACGCGCAGACCCGGGCGAUCCUCUCCGGCCUCCUUGAGAAGAGCUCGACUCCAGCCCGGCGACGACGAUGACCUGAUUCCUACCCGUGGACGAUGAUGUGCUCUGGCCCAACCGCAUCGACCUCAACAAGCCUCGUCAAGAAUCGUCACCGUGGGCUGCGCCCCUCUCUUCCUUCACGACCAGGAGUUGUCGAGGAGAACCAUCAACUUGAUUGAUUGGUUGUCUACUUGAAAAGAAAAGAAGAUGAAGACGAAUGAGUGGAUCUGAAGGAGAGAGGGCGAGAAGAAGAGGCGCCGUGUGUCUUGUAGUGGGUGAGAAUUGUCUAGCCGGCAAUGGAUUUCCAGCAAGGGUGGCAGAGAAAAAUCCAUGACGAGAUGAACACCACCACGACAGCAUCAUGAAUGUCAUCGAGUUCUCUUGGGCAAUAAAACUGCAGUCACUGGAGGGAGCAAACCAAAUGACCAUAUAUCUACUACUCAGAUCACGGGGGUUCUGGAGUCCUUGGCGUGUGCAAGUAUGCCCAACCUGCCAUAUCUCUAUGCUGCGGAUUUUAUCAAGGUCUUACAAGAAAAACAUGCAUCCAACACCUACGCAAAAAUGACCUCAAUAUUUAUGUCACAACAGCAUCUAAUGCAGAAGAAAGCACCUGGGGUACAUACUGCCCAGGAAUGGAGCCAUCGCCUCCUUCUGAGUAUAUUACCUGCUUAGGUGAUCUCUACAGUAUUUCCUGGAUGGAAGACAGCAGCCGUAUGUGCACUGCUUGUGCUAGGCGCCGAUCUGGAGGCCCCUGAUCGGAAGGGAAGCCACUGGAGCUGCUGCGGGAGAUGGUGGCGGUACGCUGGUAGAGCUUGGAGCAGACGUGGAGGGGCCGGACCUGCUGGUCCUUGAAGGUGCUGAAGGUGCUUUGAGAAAAAAAUCAGUUAGGUGUACAUGUACUAAGAAAAGGAACGGCUUGUGUUCCACGAUGGUACGUGCCGCAGUAUACUCAACGGAUGGCAGGUUCUUAUAUGCCAUAUGGAGAGGGAGAACCAGGUGCCUGAGGGACAUCGAGCUUUCCCAUGUCUUCUUCCUUCCAUUCAACGUUGUUAAGAUUUUGAAGAUUUUUGGCGAUCUGAACUCGCGUGACAUGGACCCUCUGCAACGGACUCUUGGCUUACAUCAACCAUUUUGUUGACCAAGUACCUGUAUUGCGGCAUGAUCCAAGGAGUGGAUCACUGCAUAUAUCCUGACAUGACUGGUCUGUUAUUGUUAUCUUCUUGGGAGUACUUGAGAAGGCGUGGCGGGGAAGGUGGGGACACGCCAUGGCAGAGGCCAGUGGCAAACCUACGUGUAAGCCCUGAGGUCCGGGGAAGGUAGCUUUAUUUGGCAAUGCCAAUGAUCAAGUUAGGGAUGCACAAGUCAACCAUGAGAUGUCGGAGACUGAUGUGGAUGCGCAAGGGCAGCGCUGGCCUCUGCCUAGAAGGGCAAUCACAGUGUACAGAGCUCUAGCAGCACUACGCCGUCAUCCUCUGCCUCACCCCGGCCGCAUGAAUUUCAAGAGAUGCAAGGAAGUAGGAGGAAGAAGAAAUGCAGGCGACCUCAUGAAAGUCACAGCAGCAAAGAUCCACAGUCUGUUAUUGUUAUCUUCUUGGGAGUACUUGAGAAGGCGUGGCGGGGAAGGUGGGGAAACGCCAUGGCAGAGGCCAGUGGCAAACCUACGUGUAAGCCGUGAGGGUAUUCUUGCUGGCGUCGUCGCUAGCAGAGGCGCAUGGUCGACAGGAAGAGCCGGGGCAUUGACACUUUUCGUGCUACCAACACUACAUACCAGCCAGUCCGGAGGAGGCCAGCAGUGCCGACGACGGCUCUGCGAUGGGGAAAGGUCGCUCAUCAUUGCGGCACCAGCAGUUCGACGAUCACAUUAUAUCCGCGUGUUGAUGAGCAACAUGACUCUCCGCCCUUCCUCCCUCCAGGAAGAGACAUGAUCAUAUCGAUCACCAGUCAUGGAGUCAAGUGGUUGUUGUCGUCAAGCUAAAUGUUGGUGAGUGCCAAAUGAGAUAUAUGUUCUAAUAUUCCUGAGCUGGACAUUAUGGUAAAAUAUUAAUUUUAGAAAUUUUGCCAAUCAUACCGGUCUGUAGCUAUAUCACAUUGCAAAAUUCCAUGAACAUGGGGUCCACAUUAUUUUUCACAUUGCAAAAUUCCAUGAACAUGUGGUCCACAUUAUUUUUCUAUUAUAUUUUUCCUGCCCAAGCGUGGAUGCAGGUGGAUGUGGGCGCUGCGGCUGCCACCAAGGAUGUAGGGGUCAUGCUACAACCGGUGAGGACACAAUAGGCACUUUUUUUUGGGAUGGAGGGAGUAUUACAUUCCUUGUAAUCGCAUGCUAUAUUUUCAGUGGGAAUUCAUUGACACAGUUCCUUACAAAAGUUGUAUCUUUGACAUAGGCAAACUGCUCAAGUGAUUAUAUCAUCCAUUCUGAUUUUGAGGGAAAUAUAUCCAAAUGAACAGUA
Molecule: RNA transcript, 2749 nt
Organism: Triticum dicoccoides
Lineage: Eukaryota; Viridiplantae; Streptophyta; Magnoliopsida; Poales; Poaceae
Exons: 15
Source: RefSeq, a predicted model, not a curated record